Molecule: ribosomal RNA, 468 nt
Filed under: uncultured bacterium
Lineage: Bacteria
Description: partial 16S ribosomal RNA
Rfam family: Bacterial small subunit ribosomal RNA
Source: RNAcentral
GACGAACGCUGGCGGCGUGCUUUACACAUGCAAGUCGAACGGAAAGGCCCUGCUUGUGUGUGGUGCUCGAGUGGCGAACGGGUGAUUAACACGUGCGUAACCUGCCCUUGACUUUGGGAUAACUUCAGGAAACUUGGGCUAAUACCGGAUAGGAGCUCCUGCUGCAGGGUGGGGGUUGGAAAGUUUCGGCGGUUGGGGAUGGACUCGCGGCUGAUCAGUUUGCUGGUGGGGUAGUGGCAUACCAAGGCCUUGACGGGUAGCCGGCAUGAGAAGGUGGCCGGGCCCCAUGGGCCUGAGGUACGGAGCAGUCGGGUACGGGAGACAGCAGGGGGGAAUCUUGUCCAACGAGGGCACGCCUAGGGAAGCAGCGUUGCGGGCGGGAAGACGGCCUGCGCGGUGUAAACCGCCUUUGCUUAUGACCGAGCGCGAGUGACGGUAAUGGGUAAAGAAGCACCGGCUAACUACGUG